RNAcentral lists this long non-coding RNA (353 nucleotides) under Ananas comosus (pineapple). RNAcentral describes it as "long non-coding RNA (ACOM_LNC008428)". The record is from RNAcentral. Lineage: Eukaryota; Viridiplantae; Streptophyta; Magnoliopsida; Poales; Bromeliaceae.
UUCUUCUAAAGGCAUGUAUUUAUGCUUCGUUUGGGAUUGCGCAGAGAUUGCGUUAUGUGCGGUGAGAAAGUACGUUGGAAAAAUAUCCUGUUUGUUUCCGUACAUAAUAUUGCGUUCCGCAUAUCACGAUGAAUUGAUUACGAUAUAUUUUCUACAGUCCUACCGGAGAACGCAGAAGCAUAUCCCUACCCUAUAUGCUUUUUCUCCAACUCCAUUUUAUCUAAUAGCGUUUAAUAGGCCGCAAUACCAAACUAAGACUUAGACAGAUGCCCUUAUGAGAACAGAAAUAUCACUUUUUAAAAACUCAAUAGCCUAUAUACCCCUCAUACGGAACAAAUGUCAAAAUGGCCUAU